This 305-nucleotide ribosomal RNA is filed under the name uncultured bacterium. RNAcentral's name for it is "bacterial SSU rRNA". It matches the Rfam family "Bacterial small subunit ribosomal RNA", at positions 336 to 658 of the family's 1533-position model. The record is from RNAcentral.
CGCCUACGGGAGGCAGCAGUGGGGAAUAUUGGACACUGGGGGGAACCCUGAUCCAGCGACGCCGCGUGAGUGAAGAAGUAUUUCGGUAUGUAAAGCUCUAUCAGCAGGGAAGAAAAUGACGGUACCUGACUAAGAAGCCCCGGCUAACUACGUGCCAGCAGCCGCGGUAAUACGUAGGGGGCAAGCGUUAUCCGGAUUUACUGGGUGUAAAGGGCGUGUAGGCGGGCCUGUAAGUCAGAAGUGAAAUCUGGGGGCUUAACCCCCAAACUGCUUUUGAAACUGCGGGUCUUGAGUGAUGGAGAGGG